GUCUAUGGCCAUGCCACCCUGAACACGCCCGAUCUCGUCUGAUCUCGGAAGCUAAGCAGUGUUGGGCCUGAUUAGUACUAGUACUUAGUACUAGGAAGACUAGGUGCUGUAAGCA
Molecule: ribosomal RNA, 115 nt
Filed under: Pteropus alecto (black flying fox)
Lineage: Eukaryota; Metazoa; Chordata; Mammalia; Chiroptera; Pteropodidae
Source: RNAcentral